This is a non-coding RNA of Pelobates cultripes (western spadefoot toad), 5242 nucleotides long. Lineage: Eukaryota; Metazoa; Chordata; Amphibia; Anura; Pelobatidae. The record is from the annotation of a GenBank genome assembly.
CCACCAGACCACCAGGGAUGGAAUCCCCCCCCCAUCCCUGGACACAGGUAAGAAGCAGGGAGGGGGGAGAAACAUUUAAUUAAUUUAAUAGGAAAUUUAUGUGAAAAUUCCCCUCCCCUCCCAGAUUGCACAUUUACACACACACACACUGCAUACACUAACACAACACACACUCUGCAUACACUAAUACAACACACACACUACAUACACUAAUACAACACACACUGCAUACACUAACACAACACACACACUGCAUACACUAAUACAACACACACUCUGCAUACACUAACACAACACACACUGCAUACACUAAUACAACACACACACUGCAUACACUAACACAACACACACUGCAUACACUAAUACAACACACACUGCAUACACUAACACAACACACACACUGCAUUCACUACACUAACACACACACACUGCAUAGACUAACACACACGCACUGCAUACACUAAUACAACACACACACCACAUACACUAACACAACACACACUGCAUGCACUAAUACAAAAUAAAACACUGCAUACACUAACACAACACAUACACUGCAUACACUAAUACAGCACACACUCUGCAUACACCAAUACAACACUCACGCUUCAUACACUAAUACAACACACACUCUGCAUACACUUCCCUGACACACACUCUGCAUACAUUAGUACAACACACACUCUGCAUUCACUACACUAACACACACUCUGCAUUCACUACACACUAACACACUCUCUGCAUUCACUACACUGACACACUCUCUGCAUUCACUACACAUGAACACACUCUCUGCAUUCACUACAAUAACACACACUCUGCAUUAACUGUACACACAGCAUCCACUACACAAACAUCCUGUAUUCACAGUACACACACUACAUCCACCACAAACUGAAACACUCUGCAUUCACUUUACACAGACACUGCGUCUAAUACACACAUUACAUCCACUACAGACACUGCAUCCACUAAACACAUUUCAUCUAGUACACACAAACACUACAUCCACAACACAAACACACACUACAUCACUGUACACACACUACAUCCACUACUCAAACACACUCUGCGUUCACUAUACACACUGCAUCCGCUACACAAACACACACUCUGCAUUCACUGCUCAAACAGUAUCUAAUACACACAAACACUACAUCCAUUACACACAUUCUAAUUAACUUCCACUAUACACACCACAUUCAGUCCUGCAUCAUUGUCAGUGGACUAGGUAGGGCGUGAGCGGGCCCAAAAUUUCAGAUUUUGUAUCUGUAUGUCAGUGUGUGUAUCUGAGUAUGUCUGUGUGUGUGUGUAUGUUAGUGUUCUGAGUGUUUGUGUCAGUGUGUGUAUCUGUAUGUCAGUGUGUGUAUCUCUGUUUCAGUGUGUAUCUGUGUGAGUGUGGAAAAACAACUUUAUUGGCAACCACAGCCCGAGCCCGAAACAGCAUAAUUUUUUCAAUGAAAAAAAGCAGUUUGUGGCAAAACGUGUGUUACAUAAGUUGCCAUAUAUCUGUAUGACCUGAGUAUACCACAAAUUAGGGCUAUGUAAAAAAUCAAUAAUUAAAAAAAAGAGGAAAUAAUCAAUUAAAAAAGGGGAAUAUCCCCCUAAAGUUACAAUGAAUGUAGAAAAGUAUUUGUGGUACACCUCACAUUCUAUUAUAUUAAAAAUAGAAAAUAAAGAAAACAUUUAUGAAAUCUGGCUGAAUCCGCUUAAGGUGCAAAAAAGGUAAACAUUUUAAAACAAAUGGCUAAAGAACCAUCAAAGAUAAAGGUGCAUAAUAUAUCAUGGGGUAAAAGAGAGUCAUAAAUAAUCCGUAUAAAUAUGAAUCCCAUUAAUAAAAUGUGGGAAUAGAUAGAACACUCCAAUAUAAAAAAAAGAAAAGAAAAACAUAGUACUAAAAAAUAUAUAUAUUGAAGACAACAAUAUUUAUCCAAAAAACAAUUAUUUCCCAAAGAAUUUAAAAAAAUGCAAAAAAAUCCCAAUCUGUAUUCAAACCAUAUGGAAUAUAGGUUUUAAGUUUAUAGAUCCAUUCUGUUUCUUUUCUCGCCAAGGCCCUCAAUGUAUCACCUCCUCUCCAAUGUGGUAUUAUUCUGUUGAUUCCUAUACAAACAAAAUCUUUAAAAUUAAAACAGGGACAUUUAUGACAGUGUCUAGCCAUGCUAUGUUUUUCAUUUUUAUUUCUAAUAACAUUAAAAUGUUCUAGCAACCUUUAGUGCAAUUUCCGAAUCGUGUAUCCUAUAUAUUGAAUCCCGCAUUUACACUGUAGCAAAUACACAAAAUUUUUGCUUUGACAAUUGAUAAAAAAUGUUUUAUUUCAAACGACUCCCCUGUACUAAAACUUUUAAAAGUGAUCAUUUUUCUUGCCUGGAAUUUGGACUUACUACAACUACCACACCUGUGGAAUCCCUUCGGUUGUUGAGGUAAAAAAAGGUCCUUUUUUUUUUCUUAUUGUUUUUAGGAAGUACACUCGGGGCCAAAUUCAUUUUGAGGUUCUCAGUUUUCUUAUAUAUGAUCUUGGGUCUUUCUGGUAUAAUAUUCUGAAGGUAUACUAAUCUUUUAUUAAAGGCUUCCAUUAAAAUGGCCUCAAGAUUAUCUCUAAAAUGGAGCUGGAUUAUUUGUAUAUUCAGCAUCCAAAAUUGGCAUUUUUUACCACCUGCCCAAGAUCCACAAAAAUCUAGAUAACCCACCUGGUAGACCAAUUAUUAGUGGGAUUGGAUCGUUGACCAGUAAUUUAUCAGAAUAUAUAGAUUUUUAUCUACAGAAAUUUGUCUCUCAAGCACCUUCCUAUAUAAAAGAUUCUGCCCACAUAAUAAGAGAAAUGGAGGGCCUUCAAUUGAGAGAGGAUUACAUCUGGGCUACUAUAGAUGUAACUAUAAUAGACCAUCAUAAAGAGAUUAGGGCUGUAUAGGAAGUUCUCACCCGUGAUGAACAAAUGUCUCAGAAACAGAUGGUAUUCAUAUUGAAAUGUAUUGAGUUCAUUUUAAAGAAAAAUGGGUUGAGGGCACACCUUAUCUUCAGAUAUGCGGGACAGCCAUGGGCACUAGAUUCGCCCCCAGUUGUGCCAAUAUUGUUGUGGCAAACUGGGAGUCAAAGUUCAUCUGGCAACACAAUCCGUUUUUGGCAAACCUGGCGCUAUGGAAAAGGUAUAUCUAUGAUAUUUUAAUUAUCUGGCAAGGGGAUUUACCCCUUUUUAAGGAUUUUAUUGAAUACAUGAACUCUAACAGUUAUGGUUUAGGCUUCACCCAAGAAGUAGGUGACACUAGUAUUAACUUCCUAGAUUUAACGCUGUUUGUAAACAAUGGAAUAGUGUGCAAUAAAACUUGUUUUAAGCCCACGGAUUGUAACAGUUUGAUAGACUAUGCAAGUUGCCACAAUCCACAGUGGCUACGAAACAUUCCAAAAAGCCAACAAAUGAGGCUGUAUGGGAAUUGUUCGAGAAAAGAAGAUUUUAAGAUCCAAGUGGAGUCAUUAAACAAGAACUUUUUAUAUAGGAAAUACCCUGAGGACUUUUUGAAAAAAUCCCAAAGGGAGAUAGAGUGUUUAAAUAGCAAAGAAAUUUUAAAAGAAAAACCCAAGAAAAUAGUUACGGAUGUAGAUGUUAACAUGGCCUUUUUAGCAAAGUAUAUCAGUAAAGCAACUAAAAUUGAGAAAGCCAUUUUAAUGCAAGAUAAAUACCUUCAGAAUAUUAUACCAGAAAGACCCAAGGUCAUAUAUAAGAAAACUGAGAACCUCAAAAUGAUUCUGGCCCCGAGUGUACUUCCUAAAAAAAAAAUAAGAAAAAAGAGGUAGUUUUUUACCUCAACAACCGAAGGGAUUCCACAGGUGUGGUAAUUGUAGUACAUGCAAAUUCAGGGCAAGAAAGACGACCACUUUUAAAAGUUUUAGUACAGGGGAGUCGUUUUAAAAUAAAACAUUUUAUCAAUUGCCAAAGCAAAAAUGUAGCAUAGUCAUAUAAGACCUUCACCAGAAAAACAUUUUUUGAACUCUCAUAUAAGCUUUUUCAAAUGUUGUACGUGUAGAAUUUGUAAAAUAGUGGGCCCACCUUUUGAGAAAACUUCUGAGUUUUUCUCUCCAGUCUCUACAUAUUUCAUCCUAAUCCCCCAGACACUCUAUCUUGAGAAAGCCUGAUCUAACGGGCAAACGCGUACAUUGAGUUUGGUGGGAAUUCCGAUUUUUGAAUAUUGGAAGCGAUCAGCAGCACUUGCAAGUCGGCGUUCCUUCAAGGGCAUCGGUUCCAGUGCACAGGACCGGUCUGCAGAAGUCCAUUAAGGAGCGGUAACCAUAUACAUUCCAACCAGUGCACUGUAUUGCACCAAUGUUGUUGUGGUGGCACUUAGAGAUAAGUUCCACCACUUUAUCUUGUAAGAGUUUUAUUUAGGGGGGCUUUAAGGGAAUAAACUAUUGUUACUUUACACUAUGUUAGUAUCUCUUUUAAUUUAAGGUUGGAUACAAAGUGGCAUUGGACGAGAUUUAUUUCAACCUCAGAACAUACAGACUAUUGUGUUACCACUGUUAUUCAAUAACUACCUGGAUACAUCCUUCCAUAUAUUAACAUUUGAACUCUAACAUUGCGGACUUGAUACAAAUAAUGUUUGUUGCUUUUUUCCCUAUUUUUGGUUGAUAAGGGAAUAUCUGCGCUGAUACUGGUUUUUAUUUAUUUCUAUCUAUUUUAUAUUGGAAACUUGGGAAGGUUUUUAUAGUAUCUGGCAACUGUUAACCAUUAUUAAAUAGUGUCUUAGUAAACUUAUUUUUAUUUUAUUUGCGCUCUCUUAUCUUUUUAAAUAGGUAUUUAAAAAGAUUGGGAUUAGAGACUCCUAUUCAAGCACCCCGGCUCUUGAGGAAGUCCUGACGAUCACGGGACGAAACGCGUCGAGCCUCAUAAGUAUUGUUUUACAACUCCACAGUUUGGUGACUUUGGACACUUUUUUAUCCUUGUUUAGCACUUUAUAGGUAUUAAUUACCUCUUGGAGUCCCAACCGAGGGGGUUUGUUUUACACCAUUUCAUACCUAUAGUGGACUACACUGUGCUGUAUAUUUAAAUUUGUUGUAUUAGUAUUCCCUCUUCAAUUUUGCUGCACAAUAAAUUGUUCACAUUUUUAAUCCAGAUAUUUCUAUCUCCUUCUCUGCCUUUCUUAUUUAUGGGCUUGAGUCCUGUUUUUAUACCCAUGAUUCCAGGAUAGGUAAAUAUGAGCUGAUGUGUAAGUACAAAGUUUUGUCAGUGUUCCUCAAUCUUUCUUUAUCA